UAGCAUCAUGAAGAAGUUGGAUUGUG
RNAcentral lists this non-coding RNA (26 nucleotides) under Rattus norvegicus (Norway rat). The record is from RNAcentral. Lineage: Eukaryota; Metazoa; Chordata; Mammalia; Rodentia; Muridae.